AAACCGAAAGAGAAGAGCAGAGAGAAGCACGUCUGGGGCGACUCCUCCUAUUGCAGUUAAGGUACUCAGGUCCUGUGUGACCAGAAGAAAACAGCUGCGAAGGAAAUUCUGGUGACCCUGGAGGCUGAGAAUUCACCUGCAAAUGCCAAUAACCGAGAGUGCUCCGGACAGGCGGUUCCAUGGUUGUAAUGGUGAGCACUCUGGACUCUGAAUCCAGCGAUCGAGUUCAAAUCUCGGUGGGACCUUGUCGUUAGCUGUGCACAAAAGCUGGUCUUUUAUACUGGAGCCGGAAGGAAGGCGUUCCAGGAGGCAAACUCCGCCUCAAAGAUAAAGGGAAAGGGGUGUGGAUUCCGUUUGCCCUUUGUUCCAAGUCCUGGGUCAGAGGAGGGAAAGGUUUGGGUCCUGGGAGGGUUCCCCGCAGGGUGCGGGCUGUUGCAACUCCCCACGUCCCUCCUGCUCCCGACUUGCAAUGCGUCCCCGGUGAUGUCACUUGCGCUCUCCUAUCCCCUCCUCAGGGGACCAGGUCCCAAAAACUGGGUUCUCACAGUGGCCUGAUCCACAGGGAAAUUGCCAAAGCAUCCAAUGGGAGUCACCAAGCCUGGAGGGUCCCCGUCCUGAGCGGGCCUCUUGGCCCGUGCAAUGGGAGGGGCCAGAGCCCACAGCCAGUGCCCCAGCGACCCAGGAAGCCCCACCCCGUGACCCUGGGUUUUGGGGUGAGAGGUCUCCGCCACUGAAAUGGCUGCCUCGCCUCGAUCCUAGACCCGGAGAUGCCUUUCACCCAGAACAUCUCAUAAUGGCACCCGUUGUCUUUUUGAUUUUUUUUGCCGAAUUUCUAGCUCCCACGUCUCUAUUGCGGGCUCUUUGUCGCUGUUUCACUAAGCUUUGGAAGCUGAGUCUGGAAAUCUCAUUCUUUGGUCCCAGGAUCUCAGCUGGAAAGAGAAAUCCGCGCAGCGGCCUCUUAAGCUCGCGGACUGGAAGCCCUGGUCCUGAUCCUCCGCAGCCUGGAGGGAGCUCCCGCAGGGCCACAGGGAAGAGGAGGCUGAGCAGCCCAGAGGGAUGAGUGUCAGACGCCGGGCUCCCCCUCGACCGGCCAGGACCCCAGCCCCAAGGAGAAGAGGACGCCUUAGGACCAGACAGAUGCAAAAAUGUUUUCUUCUGAGCAGUAGAACACUUCGGAUGAGGCUCAUGGUGGGCGUUGAGAGCGCGCUAAGAUGUCCCUCCAGGCGCUCAGGACCAUCGCUCUGAUUUUCAUAUUUUGAAAAUAUGAGAAUUUUCAGCAGUUACAAAGGACUGAAAAACACCGAAGUCUUUGAGGCAGUCAGUUUGGAGGAUGUGGGGAGGUGAGGUGUGGGGUGGGAGAGAGGUGCCUUGUUGGCUCCUUGGAGUGGACCGGGAGGAAGGAAAACACACACACACGCUGUUUCCCCUUGCAGGCUGGACUGAAGGGCCUGGGAUGGAAAAUUGCACAGUGAAAGAGGAGCAGGUGCAUUGAAAGUUGCUAUCCCUAGAGAGAAGUGCGGGCGGGGCCAGGACGCUGCCGUCACUGCUGCUGUUCACCACCAGCUUUGCAGCGUGUGAGACCUUCAUAACAGUGUAUAGUGCAUGCAGAUCACUCGUGUUUACAAGCAACUGAUCACAAUUCCUUACAGAUUUCUUUGUUCCUUCCCCACUCCCACUGCUUCACUUGUCUAAACUUAAAGGAAAAAAUAAAACGUUUGUUUUUACACAUGAUGUUGUUUAAGUUGAUCCUCAGCCCACCCUCCUCAAGCAGCUGGGAUCACAGGUAUACAACACGGUGUCCAGCUAAUUCUUGUGUAUUUUAUAGUGAUGGGGGUUUUGCCAUGUUGGCCAGGCUGGUCUCGAACUCCUGGACUCAAGUGAUCUGCCUGCCUGGGCCUCCCAAAGUGCUGGGAUUAAGUGCUGGCCUGCGUGCCCAGCCAUCAUUUGUAUUUUGCAUUUAAAUAUUUUACAGUCAUAUGUAUCACUUCUCAAAGAUUCUGGGUUUUGUAGCAUGUGAAUGAUGGGGUUCCAGACACGCUACUCCAAAAUAUAACACCUUGAGCUCUUAAACAUUUUAUACUAAAGGGAUUUGAGAAAACAACAGAAGCAGGAAGGCCACUGUCACCUCCCCCUGCCCUUCGUCCCGGAAGCCAAUCAUAAGGCUCUCAUGUGAGAGGUGCCCUCUCUGUACCCAGAGGAAAUGUGCAUCGCUGUGUCUGAAGGUACAGGGACACAGAGAAGAGUCUGAAUGUAUAGGCCUGGCUAUGUUUCCCCCAGCUUAUUACCAUUAGAUGGUACUGUGGGGGUGAUGGCCCACAGGGUCAUGGAUUGUCCCUUAUGCUGUGCUGAGGCACAGGAUCCAAGAAAUAAAGACACAGGACACAGAAGUACAAGGAAAAUGCAGCUGGGCUCGGGGAGCCACGCCACCUAUGAGUGGAGUCAGGCAUUGAGGCCCCGAAUGUCCAGAAGUGUGAGUAUUUAUUGUGUAUAGGUUAGGGGGCAGGGCAGUGAGUGACGUCAUCUUUAAGGAUAGUGAUAGGGUCGUGAGCAAUAAAACUAGGGGUCCACCCCUAUUCGGUCACCUAGGCUGGGAGAUGGACAGUGCACAGCAGGGAGUCCAUUCCCAUUAGGUCAUCGAGGCAAGGGCCAUGUGCAGUAUGGAGUCCAUCCCAUUAGGUCACCGAGGCAUGGAGGUGGGCCGUGCGCAGUGAAGAGGGUGCAGUGUGCAAUACCUCUAUGUAUGGGCAAGCUACUAAGAAGAUUUAAAGGAGGAUGCUUUAAGUCACACAGCAGUGACAGAGCUGUCAGGGUCUACACCACCUGGUGGCAGCUUCCAAUGAGUUCUAUAGGGGAAUGCUUUUCAAGCAGCACAGUAACAAGAGCUGGUAAAGUUCACAGUCGCCAAGGUGCGAUUGCUGGUCUGAGGGCAGCCUCCCACAAGAACUGGAGCAAGGUCCUACAACUCCUUAUCAGGAGGAGUGGCUCUCGCCCCAAGCCUCCCAUACAGCGGGUAUCUUUACGAUACUGAACGCUGCCCCCUGGGCCAUGGAUUCUUGUCCUGGUGUAACUGCUCUUCCCUUAAAUCAUGCUGUGCACUGUGUCUGCUCUAGGCAUUCCUCCGAUUAUAAGCUGCUUAUUCCUUAAUUCAUGCUCUGUACUCUGUCCACUCUAGGCAUUCCUCUGAUUAUAAACUAAGAUAUCAUUUUAUAUAUAUGGAAAUAACUGAAUGGUAGGAUAUUCUUUAGGCACUCAUUCUAUGAACUAAUAUAUGAUUAUAUAGAGAGGAUUGUACAAAGGGAAAUAACUGAGCAGUAACACUAUAAACUGAGAUAUUCUCCAAGCCCUAUUUCUGUAAACUGAGAUAUUCUCCAGGCCUUAAUUGUGCCAGGAUUCUGCUUAGCUCUCCUUCCUCAGUACCUCUACAGGGGGUUCCCCACAUCGUACUCUUUUCAUUCCUUCACACUUCUCUAUGACUAUCCACUCUUUAUCUAAACUACUGUUAAAGAAAAAAAACCCUGAGGCUUAGCUGUUUCCAUGGGCCUUCAUUUCCUUUGGAAGGCGCUCCAGUCAUGUGAAACUGACAUUAAAUAACUAAGUAUGCUCUUCUCUUGUUAGUCUGUCUUUUGCUGUAAGGGUCUCAGCAGUGAACCUAGGCUGGGCGAGGAAAAAUCAUAUUUCCUCCCCUGCGGGCACAAAUGUCUUCCACUUUAAAACUAUAAAAAUUUUAUUGAGGCUGAUUUGAUGCAAGAAAUCGAAUCACUGAUUUCCUUUAGAUGAGCUAAUAAAGUCCCAGUUCCUCCCAGAGAGAAAUAGGGUUUGGUUUUGUUUUGUUUUUUGAGACCAAGUUUCACUUGUUGCCCAGGCUAAAGGGCAAUGGUGUGAUCUUGGCUCACCAUAACCUCCACCUCCCGGGUUCAAGUGAUUCUCCUGCCUCAGCCUCCAAGGUAGCUGGGAUUACAGGCAUGCACCACCAUGCCCAGCUAAUUUCGUAUUUUUAGUAGAGACGGGGUUUCUCCAUGUUGGUCAGGCUGGUGUUGAACUCCUGACCUCAGGUGAUCCUCCCACUUUGGCCUCUCAAAGUGCUGGGAUUAUAGGCAUGAGCCACCGUGGACAGCCAGAGAAACACUUCUAUAGCUCAUUCCCUGAAGCUCCUUGAGGGUCAAACCUGCUGAAGAUUGAGGGACUUCCUGGGACCUCCCCCCAGGAGAUCACUGCUGGUGAGAGGAUUGCCGCAGUCUCCCUGGGAGGGUGCACGGCCACUGGAAAGUAUCACUGCUGUGACUUCAACACAGCCGGUUUUCAUCACAUCUGCUCUUUCUAUUUGUUUUCUUGGAGAUGAGACUCGCUCUAUCACCCAGGGUAUAGUGAUAGUGGUGCAAUCACAGCUCACUGCAACCUCUGCCUCCUCGGUUCAAGUGAUUCUUCUGCCUCAGUCUCCCGAGUCACUGGGAUUACAGAUGCACCACAAUGGGG
RNAcentral lists this transfer RNA (4473 nucleotides) under Callithrix jacchus (white-tufted-ear marmoset). RNAcentral's name for it is "lncRNA (ENSCJAG00000073623.1)". The stretch from base 174 to 245 matches the Rfam family "tRNA". The record is from RNAcentral. Lineage: Eukaryota; Metazoa; Chordata; Mammalia; Primates; Cebidae.